RNAcentral lists this ribosomal RNA (200 nucleotides) under uncultured bacterium. RNAcentral's name for it is "partial 16S ribosomal RNA". It matches the Rfam family "Bacterial small subunit ribosomal RNA", at positions 8 to 227 of the family's 1533-position model. The record is from RNAcentral.
AGAGUUUGAUCAUGGCUCAGGAUAAACGCUGGCGGCGUGCCUAACACAUGCAAGUCGAACGCCCUUAGCAAUAAGGGAGUGGCGGACGGGUGAGUAACACGUGGGCAAUCUACCCAUGGGUGAGGAAUACCGGCGAGAAAUCGCCGACAAUACCGCAUAAGCUCGGCAACGAGCAAAGCUCGCAAGAGCGCCGAUGGAUG